GGAAUAUUGGACAAUGGGCGCAAGCCUGAUCCAGCCAUGCCGCGUGAGUGAUGACGGCCCUAGGGUUGUAAAGCUCUUUCGCAGGUGAAGAUAAUGACGGUAACCUGAGAAGAAGCCCCGGCUAACUUCGUGCCAGCAGCCGCGGUAAUACGAAGGGGGCUAGCGUUGUUCGGAAUUACUGGGCGUAAAGCGCACGUAGGCGGAUAUUUAAGUCAGGGGUGAAAUCCCGGGGCUCAACCCCGGAACUGCCUUUGAUACUGGGUAUCUCGAGUCCGAGAGAGGUGAGUGGAAUUCCGAGUGUAGAGGUGAAAUUCGUAGAUAUUCGGAGGAACACCAGUGGCGAAGGCGGCUCACUGGCUCGGUACUGACGCUGAGGCGCGAAAGCGUGGGGAGCAAAC
This 398-nucleotide ribosomal RNA is filed under the name uncultured bacterium. RNAcentral describes it as "bacterial SSU rRNA". It matches the Rfam family "Bacterial small subunit ribosomal RNA", at positions 358 to 773 of the family's 1533-position model. The record is from RNAcentral.